Long non-coding RNA from Ornithodoros turicata, 202 nucleotides. RefSeq lists it as uncharacterized. The record is from RefSeq and is a predicted model, not a curated record. The transcript has 3 exons. NCBI's taxonomy places the organism in Eukaryota, Metazoa, Arthropoda, Arachnida, Ixodida, Argasidae.
ACAACGUGAACGGGAGUCUGCUAAUUGCAACUGCGCGGAAGUGCCUGAUCCCACCAAAGGAGGAGAAGUACGCAACUCAAGCCAUCAACUGGCUUAUGGAUUACAUAUCAGGUUGAACAGGUCUACGUGAGUUGAGCAGAAAAAAACGAAUGGCAUCAUCAACGCUACGGUGUUCGACACAUGUGACGUCACUACAAUCGGC